UCCCUGGUGGCUCAGAUGGUAAAGAGUCUGCCUGCAGUGCAGGAGACCCAGGUUUGAUCCCUGGAUUGGGAA
This 72-nucleotide transfer RNA is filed under the name Bos taurus (domestic cattle). It matches the Rfam family "tRNA". From Rfam's summary of the family: Transfer RNA (tRNA) molecules are approximately 80 nucleotides in length. Their secondary structure includes four short double-helical elements and three loops (D, anti-codon, and T loops). Further hydrogen bonds mediate the characteristic L-shaped molecular structure. tRNAs have two regions of fundamental functional importance: the anti-codon, which is responsible for specific mRNA codon recognition, and the 3' end, to which the tRNAs corresponding amino acid is attached (by aminoacyl-tRNA synthetases). tRNAs cope with the degeneracy of the genetic code in two manners: having more than one tRNA (with a specific anti-codon) for a particular amino acid; and 'wobble' base-pairing, i.e. permitting non-standard base-pairing at the 3rd anti-codon position. RNAcentral also lists the same sequence under 2 other names. The record is from Rfam by way of RNAcentral. Lineage: Eukaryota; Metazoa; Chordata; Mammalia; Artiodactyla; Bovidae.